Molecule: ribosomal RNA, 325 nt
Filed under: uncultured Bacteroidota bacterium
Lineage: Bacteria; Pseudomonadati; Bacteroidota
Description: bacterial SSU rRNA
Rfam family: Bacterial small subunit ribosomal RNA
Source: RNAcentral
GAUGAACGCUAGCGGCAGGCCUAACACAUGCAAGUCGAGGGGCAGCACGGGUAGCAAUACUUGGUGGCGACCGGCGCACGGGUGAGUAACGCGUAUGCAACCUACCCAUAACAGUGGGAUAGCCCGGAGAAAUUCGGAUUAAUACCGCAUAACAUUAACGGAUCGCAUGGUUUGUUAAUAAAACUUAGGUGGUUAUGGAUGGGCAUGCGUGACAUUAGCUAGUUGGUGGGGUAACGGCCCACCAAGGCAACGAUGUCUAGGGGGCCUGAGAGGGUAGUCCCCCACACUGGUACUGAGACACGGACCAGACUCCUACGGGAGGCAG